AAAAUAAAUAAAUAUUCAAGGAAGACAACUGAUGGUUGAAUCCUGAAAGUCUAAAAUCUCUAGAUCACAUAUCUAGCAUCUGAUACUUACAUCCCUAGUAAAAUAUAAUUUUAAAAUUUCCUAGAAUACGAAAAGAGCCCUAUAUAGCUACAAGAGAUAUGUAUGAGGUGACAAGCUCUUACACAUGUAUAUAUGUAUGAGGUGGUCAGGAGUGAAUCCCUUUUCUGAUCUCUUUCUUUCAUCCAUUGUUCUCUGUCUCGCUUGAUCCAGUCAUGUUCCAGCACUCCUCACAAAAGUAUCACUUCCAGACUCCUAGUAUGGGCCGAAAGGAGGAGUUUUAUUUUUUCUGAUUAUACAUGCAACAGGGAAUAAUUAAAAACAAUAACAAAUUAAAUGAUCAUGUGGUGAACCGGCUUCUUCUCCACUGCAUUUGCUGAUGACAUAGGAAGUCACUGCAAUAUGGUAUUAUGAAAUUAUUUUUCAUGAAAAAAUGAUGAUACACUUUCAUCUAACCAACUUGAAUACUCACUUUCCUCAAGAAAACAAUCUGAAUAGUCUUGUGCAUGGCAUGAUCCAAAUUCAGACGACACACUUCCUUAUAUGCUAUCUAUUAAUGAACGAACGGGUACUUACAUGUAUAUGAGGCCAGAACCGGGC
RNAcentral lists this long non-coding RNA (657 nucleotides) under Triticum aestivum (bread wheat). Its description in RNAcentral is "long non-coding RNA (TAES_LNC024458)". The record is from RNAcentral. Lineage: Eukaryota; Viridiplantae; Streptophyta; Magnoliopsida; Poales; Poaceae.